Non-coding RNA from Bos taurus (domestic cattle), 73 nucleotides. The record is from Rfam. Lineage: Eukaryota; Metazoa; Chordata; Mammalia; Artiodactyla; Bovidae.
UCGCUGGUGGUCCAGUGGCUAAGACUCCUCACUCCCAAUGCAGGGAACCCAGGUUCAAUCCCUGGUCAGGGGA